UUUGUUAUUGAAUUUCCCCCCCUUAUCUCUGCUCUUCUGGUGGGUGAAGACAAACCCCAGGUUUUCCUCUAUUUAAAAAAAUCUGGAUGUGAAGUUAGUAAACAAUUUACGUGAGUGAGCAUAUGUUACGGAAGUGGAAACAGCUGGCUCUGGGGAGGCUGGUGGUCAUGGGUUGUUUUCAUGUGGGGAGUCAUUGGAACUGCUCCCAGACCAGGCCUGGAGUGUCCCUGUCCUGCGAGCUCUCCUGCCUCCCCUCUGCUUCCCGCCCUUCCCCCCUCCUCCUCUUCCCUCCCCUCCUCCCCCAUCCCUCCUCUCCUCUCCCCUUCCCUCUUCCCCCUCCCCUUCCCUCCCAUCCCCCUCCAUCCAGGCCCCUACCUCCCCCCAUCCCUCCUUCCCUCUUCUCGCCUCCCCACCCAUCCUUUCUUCACCCCUUCUGUCCCCUCGUCUAGCUCCUCUCUCCAUUCCAUUCCUUUCUGUUUGUGCUUUAAUGUUGAAAAGCAAAAAGUCUCCCUUCCCAAACUCCCCUCCCUCCUUUUGGAGGGGGUGGUUAUGACCCUUAUUUUUGCCCCCAGUCCUGCAGGACACAGGAUGGUGGAAAGGAGUGCAGUGGGCUCUGUGGCCCAGGGAGACUACCUCCCAAAAGGCAGUGACCAGCACCUCUGCCUGGGGUGGCCGCUGACAGGGGAGGCCCAGCGAGGUCAGGGUCAGGGCCAUGAGAGCCCCUCGUAGGGUGGUGCGCUUGGGGGAUUGAUUGGAAUUACAAUGACAGUGUGGAACCAAACUAAAUGAUUCCCUUUUAUUAAUAAUAACUGUGACAGUAUUAACACGGUGAUGGUAGCAAACACUUAUACAGCAUGUAUGACACUCCAGAAACUAUCCGAAGUACUUUAUAUAUACUCUUUUCUUCCUCAUGACAGCCCUCUGGAGUAGGUGUUACUAUUAUUAUCUCUGUUUUACAAAUGAGGAAACUGAGACGCAGCGAGGUUAAGUAACUUGCCCAAGGUCACACAGCUAGUAAGUAGCAGAGUUGGGAUUCAGACCCAGGCAGUUGGGCUCCAGAGUUUGAGCAGCAGAGUUUUAAGAUAGCCCUUUCCUGUGCCUCACAUCGUGGAAAGACAAACAACCCAACAAAUUGGCACGCUUGCUCCAUAUGAGUGCUUGUGUAUAACACAUCUAAGAAGUGGUGCAUAAUGAGAUUUUGAUGUUCUCUAAUUCCUCUGACAGUUUCACACAUGAUCAUGUGGCUGGUUGUAGGACUCUGUUAGUGAACACAUUUUGUCUACACGUGUGUAUCCCCUGGGUGGUCUGCCAGCCUCAGCCAAGAAAGAAUAUGGGAAAAGCAAAUUACCUAUUCAUUUAUUCAAUCAUUUAUUAAUUGUCUACUGUGUGUCAGACACAGGGUCUGGCUGUAGGGAUACAGAAAGAAAAGACUUGGUCCAGUUGAAACAUAAAUGGUAUUCAUCUAUUAUAUUGAAUAAAUAUAAAGCACCUGUAAGCCGAGUAAUACAGUAUGAUAAGAACCAUCAGAAGAGAUAAGCGCUACAUGACAGAUGCUGGGAGAACUUACCCACCUCUCUGGCAGGCAUGGCUGAGGCUGGAGAAGGGAGCUAUCGGGGGUGUGUUUUCACGAAGAGAUGGUGUUUGCGCCUCAUCUUGGAGAGUGGGAAGGUGUAGAGUUAGUGAAAAUAGGAACAUUUCCUCUCCCAGGAUGGAGCCCCAGGGCAUGCUGUGGUCCUUGUGGGACACAUUUGAUUGGUCAUGCUUCUUGGCUUGUCAUCUGUACAGGGGAUGAAUUGGUACAUUAAUUUUCCUCAUUUGACACAAACCCUACCCCCUCUACCCCUGCCCAGGUGGCAAGUGAGAAGUGUACUGGACAGCGUUGUGCAAUGCUUCUCAAGGUCAGUUAAUGAAAAAAUCCUAGUUACUGCCUGUUUUGGGCUGAGUUGCAUCCCCCUGAAAUUCAUACAUUGAAGCCCUGAUCCCCAUUCCCGCGGAAUGUAUUUGGAGAUAGGGUCUUUAAAGAGGUGAUUAAGUUAAAGUCAGGUCAGUAGGGUGAACCCUAAUCCAAUAGGACUGGUGUCCUUAUAAGAAGAGGAGAUUAGGACACAGACAUGCAAGAGGAAAGACCAUGUGAAGACAAAGGAGAAGGUGACCAUGUACAAGCCAAGGAGAGAGGCAUCAGAAUGAAACCAACCCUGCCAACCCCUUGAUCUUGGACUUGUAGCCUUCAGAAAGGAGCGGACAUCGUCCAGUCUGCUGAGGGCCUGAAUAGAACAAAAGGCAGAGGAAGGAGGAAUUCAAACCUUUUUUCUGCCUCAGUGUUUGAGCUGUGACAUCUCGUCUCAUCUUCUCCUGCCCUCUGGACUGCCAUUGGCUUUCCUGGUUCUCAGGCCUUUGAACUCGGACUGAAUUAUACCACUGGCUCUCCUGGGUCUCCAGCUUGCCAACAGCAGAUGGAGUGGAAAAGAAACCAUUCACCAAAUCAUGGGCUGCGUACCAUAGGCCUGAGACUGUGCUAAUCUGCUCUAGCAAAGACACUACACCUGGCAUUGCGGCUGCAGUUAAGGCAUGGAGAGAGAGUGUGACGGAAGAUGAGACUGGAAAUGUAAAUUGGUGCCAGAUUGCAAAUGGGCCUGAAGGGGCCACGCUGGACUUGGACUUUAGCCGGAAUGCAUUGAGGAGUCCUUAUAGGUUCGUAAGCAAUAUAUGCUCUCCGCUUGCUACUUGCAACCAGAAAGCUGUGUUUUCUAACAUUUAAUAGCUUCCAAAUGAACUGUCUCAUUAGGUAGAGUGGGUGCUGUGUGCUGUGAUCAGGUCUCCUAUCAGGUUGGAAAUAUCUACUCUCCUGGCUGCCAGAGUGUUGGCUGCUGAAGCCCCCCAGCUGUGUCCCAGCCACCAUUAUUUCCCGAAUAUAACGUGCACUUUCAACCCUCUAUUCCUUUGUAUUUGCUAUUCUUUCUCUGGACUAUCUCCCCCACUUCCUAUGCCUGGAGAAAUUCUAUUUAUUCCACAAGACUUCCUUAGAUGUCUCCUCUCACCCCAGAUAGGAUUAACUGCUUCCUUCUCCUUCUAGAGUGUUUUGUUCAUUAUGUGAGUUUAGGACUUGCAGAGAUUCUGGGUGUCACAAAUGGCGAUGCAUGUCCUUGGCUCCCCUAUGAACUGUGUCCUCGGGACAGCAGUCCAGACCAUGUCUCAUUAUCUUCAGGUCACCAGAGGUUUGCAUAGAGCCUGACACAUGUAGGCAUUCAAGGAAUGGUUACUGAAUUAAAUUUGUUAUCUAAUUGAACCUGAUUCUGGCGUUAAGAAAGGAAAAAAAUCCAGGCUUACAUGCACACAUUUAUUCUUUCAUAAAGUAUGUAUUUGUUGUCAUGUAACAGUGGGCCCGAAGUAGACUUUUUGUGCUAAUAUCAUGUAUCAUUCUGAAUUUGUAAAGUAAAACUGUCAUAAACUUAAAGCUUUUCUUUUUCCUUCCAUCUGAACUGGAACUAUUUAACCAGGAAUGAACAUGACUCUAAUACCUUUAAAAACUACUUGAUUUCAUGUGUGUGUGUGUGUGUGUGUGAGCUUAUAUUGUGUUUGGAAACUGCCAGACACUCUUUGAUUUAUCUUUUAUCUUCAAGCACUGACCUCAUAAUAAUUAAAGCAACAAAAUAGUGCUGAGAGCAAAGAUACUUUUGUUUAUAGUUUCAAAAUUACAACCUGAUUAUUAGUUUAACACAAACCUUAAUUUUUAAAAAAAUUUUGAUUGAGGCAUAAACUAUUUACUGCCAUGGAGACUAUGAGUUUGACACGUGUUCACAUUUUUUCGGGUGCAAAUAUUUGGUGGAAGGAUUUCCAGACUAAAGUUCCCAGCCCUUGACCAUUUUUUUAAAAAAUGUGAACCACAGAUUGACCUACAUGUAUCCUCUGCCUUCCAUUGUCUGCAUUAUGCAGCAAGUGCGUGCAUUUUAGACAAUAAACAAGACACUUAACCAAGCUAGAAAACUGCUCACUGUAUUAGUUAGACCAACUUACCACUGACUUUAAGGUCCCAAAUCACAGUGGCUUAAACAUAAUAGGAGGGUAUAGAGUGCAUAUCUCCCUCAUGCAAAACUCUGAGUGUAGACAGUUCAAGGCUGUUAUGGCAGUUCUAGGAUCAUCUGGGCCCCGGUACCUCCAACUUUGUGUUCCACCAACCCAAGGGUCUGGUCCUCAUCCUUAUGGUCCAAGGUGGAGCACUGACCAUCAUAUCUCCGUCAGAAUGCUGAGUGGGUAAUGAAGAGAAGAAGAAUCCCCUAUCCUUUCUAAGGACAUUUCCUGGAACCUGUAGAUAUCACCUUUUCUCAUAUCCCUUGAGAUGGAUAUGACUGGAACUUAGCUCUGUGGCUACAAACAGCUGCCUAAUGAGACUGGAAAAUACAGUCUUUAUUUAGUAUGGCCAUGUGCCCACCUAAGUAUUGGUGGUUACUAUCACUGAAGAAAAAGGGGAAAAUAUACAUUGGGGACCACUGUAUCUCUGCUAUAUGAACACAUACCAAAGAGAGAACUCAAUGCUCAGAUGAUGUUUUGCAAACUAAUAAAUUGGAGGAUUCCAGCUU
Molecule: long non-coding RNA, 4577 nt
Organism: Balaenoptera ricei (Rice's whale)
Lineage: Eukaryota; Metazoa; Chordata; Mammalia; Artiodactyla; Balaenopteridae
Exons: 3
Source: RefSeq, a predicted model, not a curated record